UUACGGUCACAUCAGGUUGAAACAUUGUUUCCCAUACGAUCGCCGAAGUUAAGCAACGUCAAGCCUGAUCAGUAUCUAGAUGGAUGACAACUUGGGAAUACAAGCCGUUGUAAG
This is a non-coding RNA of Acanthosepion pharaonis, 114 nucleotides long. The record is from the annotation of a GenBank genome assembly. NCBI's taxonomy places the organism in Eukaryota, Metazoa, Mollusca, Cephalopoda, Sepiida, Sepiidae.